GCAAAACAGUGUUCAUCGUUCCAAAAACGCAAAACCCUAACUCAUCUCUUCAUCCAGGAAGCUAUGGAAUUCAUGCAACCACAGGCACCUAAUACGGUCAUCAUUCCAAAUCCCUAAGUCGACGAAAUCCCUAAUAAAUUUCAAAUCCCUAAUUGUCGCUCCAAAUCCAAACCCCUAACUCGUUCAUCGUUCCAAUCCCAAAUCCAUAAAUCUCUUUCCAAAUCGACUUAUAGCUUCUCUUGUUCUGUCUCCGACAAGUGGAGAACCUUCUCUUUCGUUCUCUCAUUCUGAAUCUGUGAACUUACAUCCUGAUACCUCAAACUUUUUUUUUGUUUCAUAUUUACAUGUUUCUUCAAACAUUUAUUUUAUUCUGAAAUAAAAUUGACGAUUUCUAAAUUUAUUCUGCUUGAUGUUAGACAUUUUGAUUUGGAAUUUAAUGGAAGCUGCUGUUGGUUUUGGUUGUUCUGUUAGGUGGCUUCAGUGGUUGAUUUUAGACAUAGUUAACUAG
Molecule: long non-coding RNA, 508 nt
Filed under: Trifolium pratense (red clover)
Lineage: Eukaryota; Viridiplantae; Streptophyta; Magnoliopsida; Fabales; Fabaceae
Description: long non-coding RNA (TPRA_LNC002552)
Source: RNAcentral